CCAUUUAUGAUAACUCAAAGGGAAGCUCAUUACUUUUCGAAGCGAGAUCGGGAUGCCUUAGAACACGCACCUAUAAACCGAGAUAUAAGAAGGAAGAAGAAGCAUGUGCUUGCUGCGGUAAAGCUAGGGAAACGACGGAGCAUAUUUUAUUAGAAUGUGAAGACGUCUAUCCAGCGGUCGAUUUAGGCACCACUGGCCUCCUUGAAGCCCUUGGGUUCAGCGGGAGCAGUGGUAAAGCAAACAGGUCCGUAAUAGACAUCAGUAAGAGGCGAUUGGAGGAUUGGUGGAAGAAAAGUAGGGAAACGACAAAAGACGGAGACGUACAAAAGCACAGUUCGCAAUAGGGUAUCAGAAAAUUUGGACGUGGUAGUUCAUAGUGGGGUUUUUUUUGUUUUUUCAUCGGUUAACCUAUAUUAGGCAGCAUAGUAGCAAGAGCUUGGUGGCGCAAGCCACCGCCCCGUUCCAAAGGGGACGCUCAUAACAUCCAUCCAUCCAUCCAUGCCGACGGCGCGGCGGCAUGGCACAUGCUUGGAGACGCGAAUACAUCGGAGAGUGCACGUGUACAAUCUGGCGUCAGCUUCGCUCUAAAAUGUGUUGACAGCCAGAGGAAACCGCAAGGAAAUCAAGGUACGUCUCUGUAUAUCCUCAAAUCAGGUUUGCACAGUGCACGUUGUUUCUUGUAGCAUAAUACGAUCGAGACGCAGCUAAAGCUGCGUUGAUGCAUGACUGUUUCGUUUUCUAGCAUUUGUGAACCACCGAGUUUCGUGGAUGACGUCAACAGUUUGCUGACGCCCUUGAAAGUGAUGCCCUUGCAGCGGCCACCUUCAACAGUGGAAACCGCUGCAGUAGCAUACGUCGCCGGUUUUGUCGUGAAAGCGAUAGAAGAACAAAGAAUGUGCAGCGCCUGCCCAAGACUGAAUGAUUCGGGACCAUCAAUAUCACCACUGAUGGGACUUAUUGACCGGAACUAGAGGUGGUUUGGUGUUCCCAAAGCCCGAGUUUGUAGCUGUUCUUGUAAAAGUAAAGAAGGCCAUCGACAUCGCAGUGCCACGUAUUGGCACAAACGAUGUGUGCAAGAAGAUCACGGCAAUGAUUUUGCCGCAUCUGGAGAGCUGCCCUCUAUUUAUAUGCGAGGCAAGAGAGGACCAUGCCUCGGUCACAUCCUCAAUAGUGGUAAAGAAAUUGAUAAAGCCUCUCCUAUCAAACAUUGCCGCUCUUGUUACGGACAGAGUGGCCUAUCACAAAAAAUUAAUCACUAAGCCGCUCAGUCGAAAGGCUUUGCGCGUUUAAACAGCUCGAGCGCGCGCGAGCUGACAACUUUUUAUUGUAAAUAAAUUCCUGCAUACACUGA
Dermacentor andersoni is the source of this 1351-nucleotide long non-coding RNA. RefSeq lists it as uncharacterized. The record is from RefSeq and is a predicted model, not a curated record. Lineage: Eukaryota; Metazoa; Arthropoda; Arachnida; Ixodida; Ixodidae.